Hippoglossus stenolepis (Pacific halibut) is the source of this 187-nucleotide small nuclear RNA. RefSeq annotates it as U2 spliceosomal RNA. The record is from RefSeq and is a predicted model, not a curated record. Lineage: Eukaryota; Metazoa; Chordata; Actinopteri; Pleuronectiformes; Pleuronectidae. The transcript has a single exon.
AUCGCUCGGCCUGGCCAAGAUCAAGUGUAGCAUCUGUUCUCACUUCAGUUUAAUAUCUGGAUAUGUCCCUCAUAAGGAGGACUACAUAUUAAGCAGAUUUUUGGCAUGAGGGGCAGAAACUUGAGAGCUGCCCCUUUCUCUUCCUCCACGCAUCGACCCAGCAUUGCAGUGUCACAAACGAAAAUCU